UGAGUCUCUGCUUUCAUGAACCUUACUAUCAUGCAUAUCAGUAAAAGAAUGGUCCUCAGCCCAUAACAGUGUAAAAUCCUAGUAGAUGGAGGACAGACUGGACAGACUGUUUUUCUGGACAGAGUGAAAAGGAGAAAGGGUCAGUUUAGGCUGCAUGAAGAUUCCUCAUAAUUUUAUGAUCCAUCUGUAGCAAAUUAAUGGUGAGUGAAAGGAAAAAAUAUUAUUAGGAUGAGCAUCUUUUUUUGCCUCAAUGUCAGAAACGUGUUAAAUGUAGGUAUGAUAAAUUAUAAG
This 291-nucleotide long non-coding RNA is filed under the name Cyanistes caeruleus (blue tit). Its description in RNAcentral is "lncRNA (ENSCCEG00000009979.1)". Lineage: Eukaryota; Metazoa; Chordata; Aves; Passeriformes; Paridae. The record is from RNAcentral.